AUAUAAGUCUCAUGGGGAUCUUAGUAAAGUGUAGAUUCUGUUUCAGGAGGUUUGGGAGGGUCCAGAGGAUCUACAUUUGUCAUGAGCUCCCAGGUGAUGCUGGU
Molecule: microRNA precursor, 104 nt
Filed under: Marmota monax (woodchuck)
Lineage: Eukaryota; Metazoa; Chordata; Mammalia; Rodentia; Sciuridae
Source: RNAcentral